GGGUUGUGAGGUUAAGCGACUAAGCGUACACGGUGGAUGCCUCCGCAGUCAGAGGCGAUGAAGGACGUGCUAAUCUGCGAUAAGCGUCGGUAAGGUGAUAUGAACCGUUAUAACCGGCGAUUUCCGAAUGGGGAAACCCAGUGUGUUUCGACACACUAUCAUUAACUGAAUCCAUAGGUUAAUGAGGCGAACCGGGGGAACUGAAACAUCUAAGUACCCCGAGGAAAAGAAAUCAACCGAGAUUCCCCAGUAGCGGCGAGCGAACGGGGAGCAGCCCAGAGCCUGAAUCAGUAUGUGUGUUAGUGGAAGCGUCUGGAAAGGCGCGCGAUACAGGGUGACAGCCCUGUACACAAAAUGCACAUAUUGUGAGCUCGAUGAGUAGGGCGGGACACGUGGUAUCCUGUCUGAAUAUGGGGGGAUAUCCUCCAAGGCUAAAUACUCCUGACUGACCGAUAGUGAACCAGUACCGUGAGGGAAAGGCGAAAAGAACCCCGGCGAGGGGAGUGAAAAAGAACCUGAAACCGUGUACGUACAAGCAGUGGGAGCACGCUUAGGCGUGUGACUGCGUACCUUUUGUAUAAUGGGUCAGCGACUUAUAUUCUGUAGCAAGGUUAACCGAAUAGGGGAGCCGAAGGGAAACCGAGUCUUAACUGGGCGUUAAGUUGCAGGGUAUAGACCCGAAACCCGGUGAUCUAGCCAUGGGCAGGUUGAAGGUUGGGUAACACUAACUGGAGGACCGAACCGACUAAUGUUGAAAAAUUAGCGGAUGACUUGUGGCUGGGGGUGAAAGGCCAAUCAAACCGGGGAGAUAGCUGGUUCUCCCCGAAAGCUAUUUAGGUAGCGCCUCGUGAAUUCAUCUCCGGGGGUAGAGCACUGUUUCGGCAAGGGGGUCAUCCCGACUUACCAACCCGAUGCAAACUGCGAAUACCGGAGAAUGUUAUCACGGGAGACACACGGCGGGUGCUAACGUCCGUCGUGAAGAGGGAAACAACCCAGACCGCCAGCUAAGGUCCCAAAGUCAUGGUUAAGUGGGAAACGAUGUGGGAAGGCCCAGACAGCCAGGAUGUUGGCUUAGAAGCAGCCAUCAUUUAAAGAAAGCGUAAUAGCUCACUGGUCGAGUCGGCCUGCGCGGAAGAUGUAACGGGGCUAAACCAUGCACCGAAGCUGCGGCAGCGACGCUUAUGCGUUGUUGGGUAGGGGAGCGUUCUGUAAGCCUGUGAAGGUGUGCUGUGAGGCAUGCUGGAGGUAUCAGAAGUGCGAAUGCUGACAUAAGUAACGAUAAAGCGGGUGAAAAGCCCGCUCGCCGGAAGACCAAGGGUUCCUGUCCAACGUUAAUCGGGGCAGGGUGAGUCGACCCCUAAGGCGAGGCCGAAAGGCGUAGUCGAUGGGAAACAGGUUAAUAUUCCUGUACUUGGUGUUACUGCGAAGGGGGGACGGAGAAGGCUAUGUUGGCCGGGCGACGGUUGUCCCGGUUUAAGCGUGUAGGCUGGUUUUCCAGGCAAAUCCGGAAAAUCAAGGCUGAGGCGUGAUGACGAGGCACUACGGUGCUGAAGCAACAAAUGCCCUGCUUCCAGGAAAAGCCUCUAAGCAUCAGGUAACAUCAAAUCGUACCCCAAACCGACACAGGUGGUCAGGUAGAGAAUACCAAGGCGCUUGAGAGAACUCGGGUGAAGGAACUAGGCAAAAUGGUCCGUAACUUCGGGAGAAGGCACGCUGAUAUGUAGGUGAGGUCCCUCGCGGAUGGAGCUGAAAUCAGUCGAAGAUACCAGCUGGCUGCAACUGUUUAUUAAAAACACAGCACUGUGCAAACACGAAAGUGGACGUAUACGGUGUGACGCCUGCCCGGUGCCGGAAGGUUAAUUGAUGGGGUUAGCGCAAGCGAAGCUCUUGAUCGAAGCCCCGGUAAACGGCGGCCGUAACUAUAACGGUCCUAAGGUAGCGAAAUUCCUUGUCGGGUAAGUUCCGACCUGCACGAAUGGCGUAAUGAUGGCCAGGCUGUCUCCACCCGAGACUCAGUGAAAUUGAACUCGCUGUGAAGAUGCAGUGUACCCGCGGCAAGACGGAAAGACCCCGUGAACCUUUACUAUAGCUUGACACUGAACAUUGAGCCUUGAUGUGUAGGAUAGGUGGGAGGCUUAGAAGUGUGGACGCCAGUCUGCAUGGAGCCGACCUUGAAAUACCACCCUUUAAUGUUUGAUGUUCUAACGUUGACCCGUAAUCCGGGUUGCGGACAGUGUCUGGUGGGUAGUUUGACUGGGGCGGUCUCCUCCUAAAGAGUAACGGAGGAGCACGAAGGUUGGCUAAUCCUGGUCGGACAUCAGGAGGUUAGUGCAAUGGCAUAAGCCAGCUUGACUGCGAGCGUGACGGCGCGAGCAGGUGCGAAAGCAGGUCAUAGUGAUCCGGUGGUUCUGAAUGGAAGGGCCAUCGCUCAACGGAUAAAAGGUACUCCGGGGAUAACAGGCUGAUACCGCCCAAGAGUUCAUAUCGACGGCGGUGUUUGGCACCUCGAUGUCGGCUCAUCACAUCCUGGGGCUGAAGUAGGUCCCAAGGGUAUGGCUGUUCGCCAUUUAAAGUGGUACGCGAGCUGGGUUUAGAACGUCGUGAGACAGUUCGGUCCCUAUCUGCCGUGGGCGCUGGAGAACUGAGGGGGGCUGCUCCUAGUACGAGAGGACCGGAGUGGACGCAUCACUGGUGUUCGGGUUGUCAUGCCAAUGGCACUGCCCGGUAGCUAAAUGCGGAAGAGAUAAGUGCUGAAAGCAUCUAAGCACGAAACUUGCCCCGAGAUGAGUUCUCCCUGACUCCUUGAGAGUCCUGAAGGAACGUUGAAGACGACGACGUUGAUAGGCCGGGUGUGUAAGCGCAGCGAUGCGUUGAGCUAACCGGUACUAAUGAACCGUGAGGCUUAACCUUACAACGCCGAAGGUGUUU
This 2928-nucleotide ribosomal RNA is filed under the name Escherichia coli. Its description in RNAcentral is "23S ribosomal RNA". It matches the Rfam family "Bacterial large subunit ribosomal RNA". The record is from RNAcentral. Lineage: Bacteria; Pseudomonadati; Pseudomonadota; Gammaproteobacteria; Enterobacterales; Enterobacteriaceae.